This 510-nucleotide ribosomal RNA is filed under the name uncultured bacterium. RNAcentral describes it as "partial 16S ribosomal RNA". The record is from RNAcentral.
UCACCCCAGUUACCAGCUCCACCUUCGGCAGCUCCCUCCUUUUGGGUUGGGCCACUGACUUCGGGCAUUUCCGGCUCCCAUGGUGUGACGGGCGGUGUGUACAGGACCCGGGAACGUAUUCACCGCGACAUUCUGAUUCGCGAUUACUAGCGAUUCCGGCUUCAUGUAGUCGGGUUGCAGACUACAAUCCGAACUGAGGCGGUAUUUUUGGGGUUCGCUCACCCUCACGGGGCUGCUUCCCUCUGUUUCCGCCAUUGUAGCACGUGUGUAGCCCCGGCCAUAAGGGGCAUGAUGAUUUGACGUCAUCCCCGCCUUCCUCCCGGUUAUCCCGGGCAGUCCCCUCAGAGUUCCCAGCUUUACCUGCUGGCUACUGAGGGCAGGGGUUGCGCUCGUUGCGGGACUUAACCCAACAUCUCACGACACGAGCUGACGACAACCAUGCACCACCUGUCUCCGAUGUACCGAAGUCCUGUACACAUUACUGUACAUUCAUCGGGAUGUCAAGGCCGG